This is a long non-coding RNA of Triticum aestivum (bread wheat), 4272 nucleotides long. RefSeq lists it as uncharacterized. The record is from RefSeq and is a predicted model, not a curated record. Lineage: Eukaryota; Viridiplantae; Streptophyta; Magnoliopsida; Poales; Poaceae. The transcript has 2 exons.
CGUCUGAAUCUAUCUCCCCUUUCUCUGCAAUCUCUUCCAGUUCGUCCCUCUCUCUCUCAAAUUCCUGUGAGAUCCUCCUUGGGUCCUCACAAUUGGUAUUCAGAGCCAUGAAUUCGCGUCCGACUACGCUCAAAUCCUCUUGAUCCGGCGGUAAAAUUCCACUGCAAAGGGUGUGAAAUUUGCUUUGGCAAAAUUUGCUCAAAAUCCCGAGCAGGGUUCGCUGGAUUCGGAGCGAGCAGCAACGGCGCCGUCGAAGCCGCCGCUUCCUUCCGUCCAGACCAAGCUGGUCAUCGCCGCCAUGGGAGAGAACUCGGAGAGUCUUCAGGCGUCGCUGACCGCACUCCUCGCCAAGUUUGACGCCAUGGAUUUGCGAAUUUCCUCCUUAGGCAAACAUAUCGAGGCCACGCAAGAGAGCGUGGAUGAGAUUCGUCACCGUCAGGCCGAGCUGGGCGCCGCAACCGGGGGAUCCACGGUGACGGGUGGGCCGGAGACCGGCACGUCGUCAGCCACGCACCCGCCCCCGCAGUUGGCCAAUAUCCAGCCGCCGCUUUUGGGAACGCCCGAGGAACAAGCUGCAGGUACCGGAUUCGCGACUGCGCCCACCUCCCCAGUAGAACCAGUAGCUGCUCAGGAACAGGAGCAUCAUCGCGGGUACAGGCAGGAGCAAGUCACAGCGAAGGAGCCUGUUCAGGAACAUCAGAGGGGCUACAAUUAUCAGCGUGAGCAGGUUGAGGAGCACCGCCGUGACCAUGUCCAGGGCCACGGCUACGCCAACUACUUUAAGCCACCCAAGCACAAUUUUCCUCGUUUCUCAGGCGAAAACCCCAGGCUCUUUCGACCUCGCUGUUACCUACUUUGACAUGUACCAUAUUCCUGUGCAUCAGUGGGUUUCCACAGCCACUCUGUACUUGGAUGGGCAUGCCGCACUGUGGUGCCAGGCGUUCAAACGUCGGCGGCGUAAUUGGCACUGGAAUGAGUUUACUAGCGAGAUUGAAUUGGAGUUUGGUCACGGUGAAUUUGAGUCUCACAUGACAAAUAUUCUGAAACUGAAACAACAGGGCACAGUUCUGGAGUAUAAAACUGAAUUUGAGAUAGCCAUGUAUCACCUGAUUGCUAUCGAUCCUUCUCUGAACUCAAAAAAUUUCAUCUCAGUUUUUGUUGGGCCUCAAGGAUGAGAUACGAGCAGCAGUCCGAUUACAAGCCCCGUCCAGUGUGACUAGAGCCGUCUGUUUGGCCAGAAUUCAGGAAGAAGAGUUGGAAUUUCAAAAAAGCAAACCCAAGUUUCAGCGUUUUGUACAUCAUCAGUCAAGUCUUCCUACAGCUUCACCUAUUCCUCCAGUGCAGAAGAAAAACACGGAUGAUUUUGGCAGAGAACGUCAGUUAAGAGAUUAUCACCGUGCCAACGGACUGUGUUUUCGUUGUGGAGAGAAAUAUAGUAAGGAACAUCAGUGUAAAAAGCCUAUGCAGCUCCUUACAAUCCAGUUGGGAGAGCACGGUGAAAUUUUGACUGAAGAUGCUGUCCAAGCAUUGGAGCUACUGAGUGAACCUGAAAAAUUGGAAUGCUGUGAGAUCUCGGCUCAUGCUGUUUCUGGGGCUGAUAAUGCUGAAACAAUUCGCAUCCGAGCUCUGGUAAGCAACCAAGUCAUGUUAGCCCUCGUGGACUCAGGCAGUAGUCACAACUUUGUGGAUGAAAACUUUGCCAAGCGCGCUUCGUUGGACUUGGUCGCUGUUCCAUCAGUGCAAGUUACCGUUGCAAAUGGUCAAGCUAUGGAAUCCAAGUUUCAGGCCCCGAAUUUGACUUGGUGGGCACAGGGUCACACUUUUGAAACACCAAUGCGAGUGCUACAGCUGGGAGCAUAUGAUGCUGUCUUGGAGAUGGAUUGGCUGAAGUGUCACAGUCCAAUGACUUGUGAUUGGGAGGGAAAAUCGUUACAGUUUGUACAUAUGAUGCUAUGAUUUCCCUUCAAGGUGUUCAACCUGUUUCCCCUAUGCAAUUGCAACCGACGUCGAUAGAGCAAUUGGACAAAGCUCUGCAUGGCAAUGAUGUUUGGGCUAUGGCAGUGGUUGAUCCUUCUUCCGGUAAUGCAGUUUCUAAGUCGGGCUCGCAUCCAGAAGAUUUAGCUGCAGUUUUGACAAGAAUUCCAAGAUGUGUUCGAAACUCCAACUGGCCUGCCUCCACACAGAGUGUAUGAUCGUGCAAUUACCUUGGAAGUGGGACAUAAUCCUCCUAACUCUCGGCCUUAUCGAUACUCGCCACAACAGAAAGAUGAGACUGAACGACAAGUGGCAGAGAUGCUCAAAGCAGGGAUUGUGAAACCUAGCAUGAGCCCAUACGCUUCUCCAGUACUUCUGGUUAAGAAAGAAGACGGCAGCUGGCGUUUCUGCGUGAAUUACCGCAAACUCAACGCCAUCACUGUGAAGAACAAAUUCCCUCUUCCUAUUGUCGAUGAAUUACUUGAUGAACUGGCAGGAUCAAAAACUUUCUCCAAGCUGGACCUCAGGGCAGGUUACCACCAAAUCCGUAUGCAUGAACCGGAUGAGGAGAAGACUGCAUUCAAGACACAUUCAGGACACUUCCAAUUUUGUGUUAUGCCGUUUGGGGUGACCAAUGGACCACCAACAUUUCAGUGCUUAAUGAACAACAUUUUAGCUCCAGCUAAUCGCAAGUAUGUCAUCAUGUUUCUGGACGAGAUUCUAGUUUUCAGUACCACUUGGGAGGAACAUUUGGAGCAUCUCGCUCGGUACUGCAGACCUUGCGUGAGCAUCAGUUGUUUGUGAAGCUUUCCAAAUGCUCUUUUGCUCAGACGGAAAUUCAAUAUUUGGGCCAUGUGAUUUCCUCAGAAGGUGUGGCUACAGAUCCAGAAAAGACUCUGGCUAUGGAACAAUGGCCUCAGCCUACCAAUGCUACUGAACUACGGGGAUUCCUUGGGCUGACGAGUUACUAUCGAAAGUUUGUCCGGAAUUAUGGAACCAUGGCCUUUGACUCAGUUGCUGACAAAGAACGGCUUUCUGUGGACUGAACAAGCUACUGUAGCUUUUCAAAGCCUGAAAACAGCUAUGACCAGUGCUCCUGUGUUAGCCUUGCCAGAUUUCAGUAAACCUUUUGAAGUGGAAACAGAUGCUUCAGCCACAGGCAUUGGUGCUAUUCUCUCCCAGGACAAUCAUCCCAUUGCUUAUCUUAGUAGAGCGUUGGGUGUUAAAAAUCAGAAACUGUCAGUUUACGAGAAGGAAUUUUUAGCUGUCAUAAUGGCGAUUGACAAGUGGCGGCCAUAUCUCCAGCGAGGUAUCUUUACCAUUGUCACUGAUCAUAAGAGUUUGUGCCAUUUACAGGAUCAAAAACUGACCUCAGAUCUGCAACGUAAAGCUAUGGCCAAAAUGGUGGGUCUCCAGUUCCAAUUCCGAUAUCGCAAGGGUUCUGACAAUAAUGUUGCUGAUGCACUGUCUCGUGUUCGUCAAGUGUAUACUAUUUCUGCCAUUUCCGUGUGUCAACCCAUUUGGAUGCAGGAGGUGCUCAACGCUUAUAAAACUGACUCUGUGGCCAUGGAGUUACUUGCACAGCUCGCUGUACAUAGUCCUGAUGCACAUUGGUCAUUCCCUGGACCAAGGACUGAUUCGCUACAAUGGUCGCCUCUGGAUACCCAACAACUCUGCCUUACAAACCAAAUUGAUUAGUGCGUUGCAUUCCAGCGCAGUUGGAGGUCAUUCUGGGGUCAGGGCUACCUACUGGCGGGUUUCCAACCUUUUUCAUUGGGUAGGACUGAAGAAACAGGUGGCGGACUGGGUUCGACAAUGCCAAGUUUGUCAGCAGGCAAAACAUGAAAGAACAGUGCCUGGUGGUCUGCUCCAACCCCUCCCAGUUCCUGACCGCCCAUGGAAAGACAUAACCAUGGAUUUCAUAGAUGGGUUACCCAAAUCAGAGGGAUUUGAGGUGAUUUUGGUGGUGGUCGAUCGUUUUACAAACCUACCACCCACAGACGGAUGGCCAAUCGGAGCGUGUAAACCAAUGCUUAGAGCAGUAUCUGCGGUGUGCUGUUCAUGACAGUCCAGCUCGUUGGAAGCGUUGGUUGCCAAUGGCGGAAUUUUGGUACAAUUCCUCAUAUCAUACCUCCCUUGGAUCGUGAGGAUUUUCUAGCUAUGUUGCGUGACAACUUACUGCAUGCUCAAUAGAGAAUCAAGUCUCAGGCAGAUAAACAUCGUCAGGAUCGGGACUUUUGUUGCCUACUUGUCCUUGUUGUUUUCUAUACGAUUUUCGUGGACUCUUUUUGCAUUGUC